RNAcentral lists this long non-coding RNA (213 nucleotides) under Vigna radiata. RNAcentral's name for it is "long non-coding RNA (VRAD_LNC005914)". Lineage: Eukaryota; Viridiplantae; Streptophyta; Magnoliopsida; Fabales; Fabaceae. The record is from RNAcentral.
GGGGUGAUUCUUUGUGGGGUUCCCCCGUUUUGGGCAGGUAGGGUUCCCUCGUUUUAGGUGGAUUUAGUUGUUUCUAAAUUGGAUUUGAGGUUCUUGUGUGGCUUUUGGGUGUGAUAGAGAUUGAGCAAGGUGUGGCGUUGGUGACGACGUUUGCCAUUAACAAAAUCAUAUACCCCAAACCAAAAAAGUGUACCCACUUUCUCAAACACCACG